GGAUGAACGCUAGCGGCAGGCUUAACACAUGCAAGUCGAGGGGUAACAUUGUGCUUGCACAGAUGACGACCGGCGCACGGGUGCGUAACGCGUAUAGAACCUACCUUUUACUGGAGAAUAGCCUUUAGAAAUGAAGAUUAAUGCUCCAUGGUAUUGAGUUUUGGCAUCAAGACUUAAUUAAAGAUUUAUUGGUAAAAGAUGGCUAUGCGUCCUAUUAGUUAGAUGGUAAGGUAACGGCUUACCAUGACUUUGAUAGGUAGGGGUCCUGAGAGGGAGAUCCCCCACACUGGUACUGAGACACGGACCAGACUCCUACGGGAGGCAGCAGUGAGGAAUAUUGGGCAAUGGAGGCAACUCUGACCCAGCCAUGCCGCGUGAAGGAUGACUGCCCUAUGGGUUGUAAACUUCUUUUAUACAGGAAGAAACACUGGUAUGUAUACCAGCUUGACGGUACUGUAAGAAUAAGGACCGGCUAACUCCGUGCCAGCAGCCGCGGUAAUACGGAGGGUCCGAGCGUUAUCCGGAAUCAUUGGGUUUAAAGGGUCCGCAGGCGGUCGAUUAAGUCAGAGGUGAAAUCCCAUAGCUCAACUAUGGAACUGCCUUUGAUACUGGUUGACUUGAGUCAUAUGGAAGUAGAUAGAAUGUGUAGUGUAGCGGUGAAAUGCAUAGAUAUUACACAGAAUACCGAUUGCGAAGGCAGUCUACUACGUAUGUACUGACGCUGAGGGACGAAAGCGUGGGGAGCGAACAGGAUUAGAUACCCUGGUAGUCCACGCCGUAAACGAUGGAUACUAGUUGUUGGGCAUUAGCUCAGUGACUAAGCGAAAGUGAUAA
RNAcentral lists this ribosomal RNA (834 nucleotides) under uncultured Polaribacter sp. RNAcentral describes it as "bacterial SSU rRNA". It matches the Rfam family "Bacterial small subunit ribosomal RNA", at positions 27 to 863 of the family's 1533-position model. Lineage: Bacteria; Pseudomonadati; Bacteroidota; Flavobacteriia; Flavobacteriales; Flavobacteriaceae. The record is from RNAcentral.